CGGAGACACAGGCUCGCACUGCCACACAGUAACUGUUGGGACUACGCACUCUGGUUGUAUGGCCGGGCCCCGAUCAAGUGCGGCCCGGUAAUCGAACAUAGGUUGGUGGUUGGUGAUGUGGUAGUAAGGCUCAUUGUUCUCCCGAGCUCGCCCUUGGCAGCAGCUUUUUUCAAGGAUCUCAACACUUCUUCUGGAUCGCGGGCUGACCUUGCCACGGAACUGCGUCGGCGAUCACGGUUGUAAUAAACACUUGGCAUUUCUGUAUCCACUAUGCUGCCGCCUGAAUUCAUUCAAAACUCAGAAAAAGAAAAAAAAAAUUUUUAUUUUUAAUGAGUCAUGCGGAUGAGCUGGUUAAAUUUACAUGAAGGUUUUGCACAGAAUACGAAGGAGGACUGGCUGAGCAUGAGACUGCAUUUUUACAAAAGUAAAAAAAAUAGAAGGUAACGAAAAAUAAAGUUUAAACUCAAAAGAAAAUUCAAAAAAGUUAACAUGAAAGAGGAUGCAUUUGACAUGCAAAGCGCACGUGAAAGUUAAGCUAAAAAUUAUUUGUCACUUUUAAACGUGACCGGACCAGGUGAAACGAUAAGGCAGAGAGAUGGAGAAAAAAAAGAGUGGGCUCUAAAAAACGUAUGACUUACAUACUUUAUACACCGUGUGUUACUUUGAAACAUAUUUUUUUUUACUCCGUUCAAAAUCGUGUACUACAUACUGAAAAAAAAGUUACGAGCCUUUGAGUUGAAUUUUGAAAAGUCGCUUAGAGUUUUUGAGUAUUGCCAGUAAAGAGACAAAAUUAAUUUAUGUGAUUAUUUUUACCAUCUAAAAAUAUCAAUCAUAUAUAUUAUACUUUUGCAGAAUAUAUAAUUAUGAAGUUUCAAAAAGUAUAAAAUUUUUUUUUAUUUUAUAAAAAUGCCUGAAAUUUUUGAAAUUUUGAAUUUAUUUAUUUUUUUACUAAGACAUUUUUUGUAGUUCAUUAAAUUUUUCAAAAAUUUAUCUUUGAACUUUUUUAUGUAGGAUCAAAAUUUCGAUUUUUAAACUGAAAAUAUUUAAAAAAUUUCAAGGGCUGUAGAGUUGAAAAAAAAAUGUAUGCUGAAUAAUUUUGAACAGAGUUUGAAAAAAAUAUCCUACAUGAGAGUCAUAUUUAUGGUAUUUAUAAAAAAUUAAUUAUAAUUAUUUUUAGUAAAAUUUAUCCCUUUUCACCCCCAAGAGCCCAUUCUUUUUUUUCUUCGCCACAUUGAACUCCUCCCUCCAUAUGUUUCACGUCCAUUUUCAUUUUCUGGCUCUCCAGGGUGUGUUGAGACACCAUAAAUCGUGGUACGCCUUCUCGUUUACCCGGGAUUUCCAGUAGUAUAGAGAGCAACGAGUAGUAUAGAGCGGCAGCGAGCUCACGAGCAAAUUUCGCAUUCUUGAUGGUAUCACUACUUGUAAGGGCCAAGCAACAUCACCGAAUAAGGUUAUACUGUUAUAGUACAGUUGGGAGAUAUAUCCGAAGAGAAUAUAUAUAUAUAUACAGCUAAAUUUAUUUAUACGUAUAAAUAUAUAUAUAAAUUUUUUAUAUACAUGUAGGCGAAUAGAAGAAAUACAAAUAGAUCAAGAAUCGCGAGAUACAUCCCGGGUAAAAACAUUUCAAGCUAAAAUAAAAUUCUUUUCUCGGCUGAAAAAAGGUCCAGGUAGUGAACAUAAUGCUGAAAAAUGGUCGAUAAUUAGGCCUAAAAACAAUCGCUAAUAGGCUGACUCAAUUCAUCGGUCAAUUUUCGAUCUCUUCUGAUAAAAUUCUAUGGUUUCGGCCAAAUGUUUUUACCCGGGAUGUCCUGAUUCAAUUUAAAACAAACUGAUAUUCAAUUUUACACCUCAGUCUUCAU
Microplitis mediator is the source of this 1859-nucleotide long non-coding RNA. RefSeq lists it as uncharacterized. The transcript has 3 exons. Lineage: Eukaryota; Metazoa; Arthropoda; Insecta; Hymenoptera; Braconidae. The record is from RefSeq and is a predicted model, not a curated record.